AGGUCAAAGGGAUCUACCGCCACGGCUUUCUUGAAGUCCGGCCCCACGGCCCUGAAGAAGGCUUUCAUGUCCUUGUCUUCAUUAUCAAAGCCGUGCUCUCCUUUGUUGUAAUUCACAGUCAACAACCCAGAAGGCAGAAAGAGAUGGAGGACAGCAGCAGCAGGGAAAGGGCAUCCAGUGGUGCAUAAACGCAUAGGUCAGCGAUGAGGAUGAGGGGCAGGAGUCGAGGAUGGUUGCUGUAGUGCAGUCUAGCUGGCAUCUUCUCCUUUUUAUACACAUGAAGGUGAGGAUGGCUUCCUUUCAGAGCUUUAUAGACUUUCUCCAACAUCCCCUC
Acanthopagrus latus (yellowfin seabream) is the source of this 334-nucleotide long non-coding RNA. RefSeq lists it as uncharacterized. NCBI's taxonomy places the organism in Eukaryota, Metazoa, Chordata, Actinopteri, Spariformes, Sparidae. The transcript is spliced from 3 exons. The record is from RefSeq and is a predicted model, not a curated record.